RNAcentral lists this ribosomal RNA (249 nucleotides) under uncultured bacterium. Its description in RNAcentral is "partial 16S ribosomal RNA". It matches the Rfam family "Bacterial small subunit ribosomal RNA", at positions 355 to 608 of the family's 1533-position model. The record is from RNAcentral.
UUAGGAAUCUUCCGCAAUGGGCGCAAGCCUGACGGAGCGACGCCGCUUGGAGGAGGAAGCCCUUCGGGGUGUAAACUCCUGAACCCGGGACGAAAUCCCCGAUGAGGGGGCUGACGGUACCGGGGUAAUAGCGCCGGCCAACUCCGUGCCAGCAGCCGCGGGAAUACGGAGGGCGCGAGCGUUACCCGGAUUUACUGGGCGUAAAGGGCGUGUAGGCGGGUUGGGGCGUCCCAUGUGAAAGACCACGGC